RNAcentral lists this ribosomal RNA (491 nucleotides) under uncultured bacterium. RNAcentral's name for it is "partial 16S ribosomal RNA". It matches the Rfam family "Bacterial small subunit ribosomal RNA", at positions 29 to 506 of the family's 1533-position model. The record is from RNAcentral.
AGUGAACGCUGGCGGUAGGCCUAACACAUGCAAGUCGAACGGCAGCACAGUAAGAGCUUGCUCUUACGGGUGGCGAGUGGCGGACGGGUGAGGAAUACAUCGGAAUCUACUUUUUCGUGGGGGAUAACGUAGGGAAACUUACGCUAAUACCGCAUACGACCUACGGGUGAAAGCAGGGGAUCUUCGGACCUUGCGCGAUUGAAUGAGCCGAUGUCGGAUUAGCUAGUUGGCGGGGUAAAGGCCCACCAAGGCGACGAUCCGUAGCUGGUCUGAGAGGAUGAUCGGCCACCCUGGACCUGGGCCACGUUCCAGCUCCUUACGGGAGGCGGCGUUGGGGAUUAUUGGCCAAUGGGCGCAACCCUGUCCCAGCCUUCCGGCUGGGGUGAAGAAGGCCUUCGGUUUGUAAAGCCUUUUUGUUGGGAAAGAAAACCGCCAGUUUAAUACCCCGCUGUUCUGCCGUAACCCAAAGAAUAAGCCCCGCCUACCUUCUG